GAUGAACGCUAGCGGUAGGCCUAACACAUGCAAGUCGAACGGCAGCACAGUAAGAGCUUGCUCUUAUGGGUGGCGAGUGGCGGACGGGUGAGGAAUACAUCGGAAUCUACUUUUUCGUGGGGGAUAACGUAGAGAAACUUACGCUAAUACCGCAUACGACCUACGGGUGAAAGCAGGGGAUCUUCGGACCUUGCGCGAUU
RNAcentral lists this ribosomal RNA (200 nucleotides) under uncultured bacterium. RNAcentral describes it as "partial 16S ribosomal RNA". It matches the Rfam family "Bacterial small subunit ribosomal RNA", at positions 28 to 222 of the family's 1533-position model. The record is from RNAcentral.